Molecule: ribosomal RNA, 634 nt
Filed under: Sordariomycetes sp.
Lineage: Eukaryota; Fungi; Ascomycota; Sordariomycetes
Description: eukaryotic LSU rRNA
Rfam family: 5.8S ribosomal RNA (bases 282-435)
Source: RNAcentral
AGCGGAGGGAUCAUUACUGAGUUAUUAAAACUCCAAACCCUUUGUGAACCUUACUGUCGUUGCCUCGGCGUGAGCUACGGCUACCCUGUAGUUACCCUAUAGCUACCUGCAGCUACCCUAUAGUUGACCAGUAGCUACCCUGUAGUUACCCUAUAGCUACCCUGCAGCUACCCUAUAGUUGACAUGUAGCUACCCUGUAGCCGGCUUAUGGCCCGCCGAAGGACCGCUAAACUCUUGUUUUUUACCACUGUUUCUCUGAAUUGUAAACUUAAAUAAGUUAAAACUUUCAACAACGGAUCUCUUGGUUCUGGCAUCGAUGAAGAACGCAGCGAAAUGCGAUAAGUAAUGUGAAUUGCAGAAUUCAGUGAAUCAUCGAAUCUUUGAACGCACAUUGCGCCCAUUAGUAUUCUAGUGGGCAUGCCUAUUCGAGCGUCAUUUCGACCCUUAAGCCCCUGUUGCUUAGCGUUGGGAAUCUACAGCGUAGUUCCUUAAAGUUAGUGGCGGAGUUAGGGUACACUCUCAGCGUAGUAAUCUUUCUCGCUCGUGUGGUGGCCCUGGCUGCUAGCCGUUAAACCCCUAUAUUUUCUAGUGGUUGACCUCGGAUUAGGUAGGAAUACCCGCUGAACUUAAGCAU